CAGCAGCCGCGGGAAUACAGAGGGUGCGAGCGUUAAUCGGAUUUACUGGGCGUAAAGCGUGCGUAGGCGGCUUCUUAAGUCGGAUGUGAAAUCCCUGAGCUUAACUUAGGAAUUGCAUUCGAUACUGGGAAGCUAGAGUAUGGGAGAGGAUGGUAGAAUUCCAGGUGUAGCGGUGAAAUGCGUAGAGAUCUGGAGGAAUACCGAUGGCGAAGGCAGCCAUCUGGCCUAAUACUGACGCUGAGGUACGAAAGCAUGGGGAGCAAACAGGAUUAGAGACCCCAGUAGUCCCUGUCUCUUAUAA
This 301-nucleotide ribosomal RNA is filed under the name uncultured bacterium. RNAcentral describes it as "partial 16S ribosomal RNA". It matches the Rfam family "Bacterial small subunit ribosomal RNA", at positions 509 to 809 of the family's 1533-position model. The record is from RNAcentral.